This 920-nucleotide ribosomal RNA is filed under the name uncultured fungus. Its description in RNAcentral is "eukaryotic LSU rRNA". The stretch from base 272 to 920 matches the Rfam family "Eukaryotic large subunit ribosomal RNA", at positions 1 to 664 of the family's 3401-position model. Lineage: Eukaryota; Fungi. The record is from RNAcentral.
AUCGAUGAAGAACGCAGCGAAAUGCGAUAAGUAAUGUGAAUUGCAGAAUUCAGUGAAUCAUCGAAUCUUUGAACGCACAUUGCGCCCCUUGGUAUUCCGGGGGGCAUGCCUGUUCGAGCGUCAUUAUAACCCUCAAGCCUAGCUUGGUGUUGGAGCCUGCCUCUGGGCAGCUCUUAAAAUCAGUGGCGGUGCCGUCUGGCUCUAAGCGUAGUAAUUUUUCUCGCUACAGGGUCCUGCGGUUGCUUGCCAACAACCCCAAAUUUUCUAUGGUUGACCUCGGAUCAGGUAGGGAUACCCGCUGAACUUAAGCAUAUCAAUAAGCGGAGGAAAAGAAACCAACAGGGAUUGCCUCAGUAACGGCGAGUGAAGCGGCAACAGCUCAAAUUUGAAAUCUGGCUCUUUCAGGGUCCGAGUUGUAAUUUGUAGAAGAUGCUUCGGGUGUGGUUCCGGUCUAAGUUCCUUGGAACAGGACGUCAUAGAGGGUGAGAAUCCCGUAUGUGACCGGCUACCUUCGCUCAUGUGAAGCUCUUUCGACGAGUCGAGUUGUUUGGGAAUGCAGCUCAAAAUGGGUGGUAAAUUUCAUCUAAAGCUAAAUAUUGGCCAGAGACCGAUAGCGCACAAGUAGAGUGAUCGAAAGAUGAAAAGCACUUUGGAAAGAGAGUUAAAUAGUACGUGAAAUUGUUGAAAGGGAAGCGCUUGCAAUCAGACUUGCACGCAGUUGAUCAUCCGGUGUUCUCACCGGUGCACUCUGCUGCGUUCAGGCCAGCAUCGGUUCUGGUGGUUGGAUAAAGGCCUUGGGAAUGUAGCUCCUUUCGGGGAGUGUUAUAGCCCUCGGUGCAAUGCAGCCUACCGGGACCGAGGACCGCGCUUCGGCUAGGAUGCUGGCGUAAUGGUUGUAAGCGACCCGUCUUGAAACACGG